This 859-nucleotide ribosomal RNA is filed under the name uncultured bacterium. RNAcentral's name for it is "bacterial SSU rRNA". It matches the Rfam family "Bacterial small subunit ribosomal RNA", at positions 28 to 896 of the family's 1533-position model. The record is from RNAcentral.
GACGAACGCUGGCGGCGUGCUUAACACAUGCAAGUCGAACGAUGAAGCUGGGGCUUGCUCUGGUGGAUUAGUGGCGAACGGGUGAGUAACACGUGAGUAACCUGCCCCAGACUCUGGGAUAAGCACUGGAAACGGUGUCUAAUACCGGAUACGAACUUCCGCCGCAUGGUGAGGAGUUGGAAAGAAUUUUGGUCUGGGAUGGACUCGCGGCCUAUCAGCUAGUUGGUGAGGUAAUGGCUCACCAAGGCGACGACGGGUAGCCGGCCUGAGAGGGUGACCGGCCACACUGGGACUGAGACACGGCCCAGACUCCUACGGGAGGCAGCAGUGGGGAAUAUUGCACAAUGGGCGAAAGCCUGAUGCAGCAACGCCGCGUGAGGGACGAAGGCCUUCGGGUUGUAAACCUCUUUUAGUAGGGAAGAAGCGAAAGUGACGGUACCUGCAGAAAAAGCACCGGCUAACUACGUGCCAGCAGCCGCGGUAAUACGUAGGGUGCAAGCGUUGUCCGGAAUUAUUGGGCGUAAAGAGCUCGUAGGCGGUUUGUCGCGUCUGCUGUGAAAACCCGAGGCUCAACCUCGGGCCUGCAGUGGGUACGGGCAGACUAGAGUGCGGUAGGGGAGAUUGGAAUUCCUGGUGUAGCGGUGGAAUGCGCAGAUAUCAGGAGGAACACCAAUGGCGAAGGCAGAUCUCUGGGCCGUAACUGACGCUGAGGAGCGAAAGCAUGGGGAGCGAACAGGAUUAGAUACCCUGGUAGUCCAUGCCGUAAACGUUGGGAACUAGAUGUAGGGGCCAUUCCACGGCUUCUGUGUCGCAGCUAACGCAUUAAGUUCCCCGCCUGGGGAGUACGGCCGCAAGGCUA